Molecule: ribosomal RNA, 505 nt
Filed under: uncultured bacterium
Lineage: Bacteria
Description: partial 16S ribosomal RNA
Rfam family: Bacterial small subunit ribosomal RNA
Source: RNAcentral
GACGAACGCUGGCGGCGUGCCUAAUACAUGCAAGUAGAACGCACAGUUUAUACCGUAGCUUGCUACACCAUAGACUGUGAGUUGCGAACGGGUGAGUAACGCGUAGGUAACCUGCCUGGUAGCGGGGGAUAACUAUUGGAAGCGAUAGCUAAUACCGCAUAAUAUUAAUUAUUGCAUGAUAAUUAAUUGAAAGGUGCAAUUGCACCACUACCAGAUGGACCUGCGUUGUAUUAGCUAGUAGGUGAGGUAACGGCUCACCUAGGCGACGAUACAUAGCCGACCUGAGAGGGUGAUCGGCCACGCUGGGACUGAGACACGGCCCAGACUCCUACGGGAGGCAGCAGUAGGGAAUCUUCGGCAAUGGACGAAAGUCUGACCGAGCAACGCCGCGUGAGUGAAGAAGGUUUUCGGAUCGUAAAGCUCUGUUGUAAGAGAAGAACGGGUGUGAGAGUGGAAAGUUCACACUGUGACGGUAUCUUACCAGAAAGGGACGGCUAACUACGUG